AGUGGAAAAUUAAAGUCAAACCGAGAUUAUAUUUCUCUUCUUCAACCUCUUGGUUUCUUUUGCCACAGCAAAACCCCUUCCCAUUGGUUCCCACAAGACCUCUGGUUUACUCUUCAACUACACUAAGGCCCAUCUGGACGUUCGGGUUGAAUAUUUUGGAUGAUGGGUCAGGAUUUCUGGAGGGUUUGUACGGGCUAUGCAUUUUAAUGUGGCUAUGUUAGUAUAGGUUGAAGCAAGCAUGGGCUUUUGAUGCAGCUUUUCUGUCGAAUGAACUUCAGUGAAGCAAUUUGAGUCAGGUUCUGGUUCUGGAUUAGUGAUGGAUUGCAAUAAAGAAGAGGCUGUCAGGGCCAAGGGGAUUGCUUUGAAGAAGAUGGAAAGCAAGGAAUUUGUAGCGGCUCGUAAAGUUAUUAUCAAGGCCCAACAACUAUAUCCUGAUGUGGAUAAUAUUUCUCAAAUGCUUAUGGUUUGCGAUGUGCAUAUUGCUGCCGAGCAGAGAAUAUAUGGGAAUGAGAUGAACUGGUAUGGUAUCCUUCAGAUUGAGCCGACAGCUGAUGAGGCAAUGAUUAAGAAGCAGUACAGGAAGUUUGCUCUACAACUUCAUCCUGAUAAAAACAAGUUUGCAGGUGCAGAAGCUGCUUUUAAGCUGAUUGGGGAAGCUCAAAGAGUGCUUUUAGACCGAGAUAAACGUGCUUUUCAUGACAUGAAACGCAGAGCUCCUGUGUAUAAAGCAGCACCACCGAAUCGGCCCUCUCAAAAGGGCAGCUGGAGCUCAAAUGUUGGGGCUCAUAAUAACUAUAGGAGCAAUGUGACAGGCUCGAAUCCUCAGCAACAGAAGCCGCCUCAGCCAGUUCCACCUGGUCACUCUAAUGUCCGCCCAACUUUCUGGACUGUCUGUCCGUUUUGUUCAGUAAGGUACCAGUAUUAUAAAGAAGUUGUCAAUAGAUCUCUCCGUUGUCACAGUUGCCAGAAGCCAUUCAUUGCAUAUGACAUGAAUGUGCAAGGUCCUCCACCAACUACCAACAACAGUCAUGCACCACCAACUACCAACAGCAGUCAUGCACCACCAGCUACCAACAUGAGUAAGCCAGUGUUCCCCCAGAAGAACGAUGGUGCUUGCAAGGUGGAGGUAGGAUGUCAGGGGAAUGUUGGUAAGGUUGGAUCAGGAAAGAUGAAUGGCAAGAAGAGGAAGCAGGUAGAGGAAUCCAGUGAGAGUUUUAAUUCUAAGAGCAGCACUGACUCUGAAGAAGAAGAUAUAGCUGUAGACAAUGAUGGUAAUAUUCAGGGUGGACAGAAGUUUGAAUCUUUUAGAGACCAAAACAUACGAAGAUCUUCACGGCACAAGCAGCAGGUUUCUUACAAGGAAAACUUGAGUGAUGAUGAAAACACUGUAAACUCUCGAAAAAAAGCCAAGAGGAGUGAAUCAUCCUCUGCCACUAAAGAGGAGAGUGGGGAUGCAUCUAUAAAAGAGUCAUCUAAAAUAAAUAAAUCAUCUCAUUUAGCUUCUAAUGUAAAAGAAGAUCUGAAAGAGGUGAAACAGAAUGAAAAUGCUUGUUUUGAGGAGAGCUUAUCGAAUGGGAACAUGAAAGCAAAAUUGAGUGGAAAAGAAACAGUGGCUGAUGAUAACCGUAAGAAAACUUCUGAAGCUUAUGACAAUUCUGCAUCUGAUUCAAGGUCUGACACAACACUAAAGCCUGAAUAUUUUCAAUAUCCUGAUCCAGAUUUCAGUGACUUUGACAAGGAUAGGAAACAAGAGUGUUUUGCAGCAGGGCAGAUCUGGGCUGUUUAUGAUACUGUGGAAGCCAUGCCUAGAUUUUACGCACAGAUUAAGAAAGUUCUCUCUCCCGGGUUUAAGCUGAGGAUAACCUGGCUAGAGCCAGACCCAGAUGAUGAGGAUGAAAUCAAAUGGUUCAAUGCGGACUUGCCUACUUCUUGUGGUAAGUUUACAAAGGGGAACACGGAAAACACUGAAGAUCGUCUUAUGUUCUCUCAUUUGAUUUCUUGGGAGAAGGGCAGCCGUAGAGAUAGUUUCAAGGUUUAUCCUAGAAAGGGAGAAAUAUGGGGACUCUUCAAGAACUGGGAUAUCAAAUGGUACUCUGAUCCAGACCAGCAUCGUAAGCCCGAGUAUGAAUUUGUUGAAAUCUUGUCAGAGUUUUCACAGGAUGUGGGUAUACGUGUUGCAUACAUCAUUAAGGUGAAAGGCUUUGCAAGCCUCUUUUGUCGAAUGGUUAAGGAAGAAAUGGGCACAUUUCAAGUUCCACCUGUAGAACUAUUUAGGUUCUCACACAGGGUUCCAUCCUUUAAAAUGACUGGUGAGGAAAGAGAAGGUGUGCCGAAAGGAUCUUUUGAACUAGACCCUGCAGCUUUACCCCUUAAAAUUGAAGAGUUUUCUGUGCCUGAAGAUGUGGCAGUGGAGGCUGGUGCAAAUGCAUCAAUGUUCCAGGCUGAUGUAAAGAGCAGCCACUUUGAGUCUGGGGAAAGCAGUAAUGGCAUUGUUACUGAAGAUCACAGUAAUCCUCCAGCUUCCCCCUCAGAAGCUAUUGAAAUUCCAGAACCUGAAUUUUACGAUUUUGAUGCUGAAAAAUCCCAGGAGAAGUUUCAGAUUGGUCAGAUUUGGGCAUUGUACAGUGAUGAGGAUGGCUUGCCAAAAUAUUAUGGUAUGAUUACGAAAAUCGAUGCUGGCUCAGUUUUCAAAUUGCACCUUACAUGGCUUGGCUCCCGCCAGCUGCCAAACAACACUAUCCAAUGGCGUGAUAAAGGCAUGCCCAUUUGUUGUGGAAAUUUUAAGAUUAAGAGUCAAUCCCAGGUAUAUACUACUACCACUUCCUUUUCGCAUCGGGUAAGAUCUGAUCCUGCUGGUAAGAGGAAUGAGUAUGCCAUCUUUCCUAGGAAAGGUGAGGUAUGGGCAUUAUAUAAGAGCUGGACUGCUGAAAUCAAAUGUUCUGAGUUGGAGAGCUGUGAAUAUGAAAUAGUAGAAGUCGUUGAGGAGGAGGAUUUGCAUAUAAGAGUGUUGUUUUUGGAGCGAGUGGAUGGUUUCAACUCAGUUUUCAAGGCCCAAUUAAAAGAGGGGUCAGAAGUAACCAUUGGGAUUCCUCGGAUAGAGCUUCUUAAGUUCUCCCAUCAAUUACCUGCUUUCCGCCUGACAAAAGAGAAAGGUGGCACCCUGAGAGGCUUCUGGGAACUUGAUCCUGCAGCAUUGCCAGUUCAUUAUUUUUCUUGAGGCAGGAAAACUGAAUUAACAGAGCCUGUUCAGGUUAGAGUUAAAGCACCAUCCUUGUUCUUAUAGUUGCUCAGCAGAGAUACACCCAUCAAGUGCAUAUGAUAGAUGUUUGGCAGUGUAAUGAUUUUUGUCCUCAAUCCUGCUGCAUUGGAGAGAAAUUUGGAGGCUGUGCUGGUUUUUUUGUUGAAUUUUACUCGUCUCUAAUCCUCUUGAUGGUGCCAUGCAACUUGGCUAGUUAGGCACAAGUCACUUCAAGGCUUGCAGGCAGUACGUUCCCGUCAGCAGAGGACAUGAUGUGAAGAGGCUGCUGCCUCAAAUGACUUUCUUGAUGAUCUUGUAACUUUUCAAAUGGUUUAAGUUUGCGAAGCUUCCUUGUUGCCUCACUGAUUUCUUGCCCAAACUCCCCUCCCUUGCAAGGAUCAAUGUCUUUUCCCCUCCUGAUCUGACAUAUAUGAAGACCAUGGAUGCUUGCUAAUUAUAGGCUUAGGCUUGUUCCAGUGAAAUUCAUCCUUUAAUAUGGAGUUUGGUUCAGGAUACUCUCUUGGUACUAAACAUUCCUUUGUGGGGAAAAUAUGGCUUAUUUUUCGAAGAGAUGAGUAUCCCCUAGUUCACAUUACUGCGAAAGCUCUAUCCUUUCAAAGUGACAAUAACAUAACCAAUGCAAUACCUUUUGACCAAUCAAAAUAAUACUCUUUUCUCCUCUAACGCAACUUGUGUGUUUUUUCCAGAUUGCUCUUCCAUUGGACCUAGAUUUGUUUUAAUCCACUGUAUUUUCUCCGUUUUAA
This is an RNA transcript of Quercus lobata, 4002 nucleotides long. It is a transcript of the gene named DNAJ heat shock N-terminal domain-containing protein, with no coding region annotated. The transcript is spliced from 3 exons. The record is from RefSeq and is a predicted model, not a curated record. NCBI's taxonomy places the organism in Eukaryota, Viridiplantae, Streptophyta, Magnoliopsida, Fagales, Fagaceae.